RNAcentral lists this unclassified non-coding RNA (158 nucleotides) under uncultured Cylindrocarpon. RNAcentral describes it as "sequence contains ITS1". Lineage: Eukaryota; Fungi; Ascomycota; Sordariomycetes; Hypocreales; Nectriaceae. The record is from RNAcentral.
CCGAGUUUACAACUCCCAAACCCCUGUGAACAUACCUAUCGUUGCUUCGGCGGACCACCCCAACCCCUACGGGGCGAGGGGCCCGCCAGAGGACACCCAAAAUUCAAAAUGUAUUUUGCCUUGUAAUUUUAUUCUGAGUGGAAUUUUUAAAUAAAUCA